AUCCUUUUGUAGCUCAUGAGCAUGACCAUUGGGUGUUCAAGCCAUUGUGUGACUUAUGUCUCCCUGAAAUCUUAUUACGACCUUGGCACAUUACCUGUCUGACG
Ailuropoda melanoleuca (giant panda) is the source of this 104-nucleotide small nucleolar RNA. The record is from Ensembl. NCBI's taxonomy places the organism in Eukaryota, Metazoa, Chordata, Mammalia, Carnivora, Ursidae.